RNAcentral lists this ribosomal RNA (518 nucleotides) under uncultured bacterium. RNAcentral's name for it is "partial 16S ribosomal RNA". It matches the Rfam family "Bacterial small subunit ribosomal RNA", at positions 29 to 523 of the family's 1533-position model. The record is from RNAcentral.
AACGAACGCUGGCGGCGUGCCUAACACAUGCAAGUCGAACGUGAUUAGAGGGCUUGCUCUCUAUGAAAGUGGCGCACGGGUGAGUAACGCGUAGAUAAUCUACCUGGUGAUCCGGGAUAACAGUUCGAAAGGACUGCUAAUACCUGAUAAGCCCACGGAGUCCUUGGACUCUGCGGGAAAAGGGGGGGACCAUUUGGCCUUCCGUCAUCAGAUGAGUCUGCGUACCAUUAGCUAGUUGGUAGGGUAAAGGCCUACCAAGGCGACGAUGGUUAGCUGGUAUGAGAGGAUGAUCAGCCACACUGGAACUGAGACACGGUCCAGACUCCUACGGGAGGCAGCAGUGGGGAAUUUUGCGCAAUGGGGGAAACCCUGACGCAGCAACGCCGCGUGAGUGAUGAAGGCCCUUGGGUCGUAAAGCUCUGACAGAGGGAAAGAAAUGCAGGGGAGCUAAUAUCUCCUUUGCUUGACGGUACCCUCAAAGGAAGCACCGGCUAACUCCGUGCCAGCCGCCGCCGUAA